CAUAGGGUAACACGGAGAACGACGUCAGUUCCAUUGCUACGAAACCAGGGAACGUGUCUCGAAACGUUCCGGUUUCAGACUCUAGAAGCCUAACUUCAACAUCAGGUCGUUCUACAACACACCGAACUACAGUUUCACCUCUUACGCGACCAACGUGGGAACUACGUCCAUAAGGUAGGGAGCCCGUUAAGGAUUUCGUUAUAGAUCGUAAA
RNAcentral lists this ribosomal RNA (212 nucleotides) under Triticum aestivum (bread wheat). RNAcentral describes it as "partial small subunit ribosomal RNA". The record is from RNAcentral. Lineage: Eukaryota; Viridiplantae; Streptophyta; Magnoliopsida; Poales; Poaceae.